UGGAAUGUCAAUAUACUCAGCAAGAAGGAAUUUUCUGUAAUAAAUAUGUUGAUGAAUUUUCGUAAAUAUAGAAAGAAUUGUUUACAUUAUAGUAGACAAAUUUAUUAUUCUAGUGACUCCAUAAAAGGUAAAUCAUGUAAUUGUGCUUGUGCAUUUAGUCAUUCUUUACAAGCAGUUCUUUUAUGAAAGCACCUUCUGGGCCUCUCGGGACACAGCUCAACUGGUGGAUCAAUCAACAUUGUCUUGCUUUCAGUGGCAAGGUGGAGAGUUCGAUUCCUGGUGAGAACCUGCGAUCAAAUAUUUGGUAUGGAGCAAUCAUUAUGGAGGAGGGUCUCUUGUGCGCAAAAGUGUACAGACAAUGGGGAGAACCUGUAAUCCAGUUGAGGUAUAACCCGCGAUUUACCCCCUCCAAGGUUCUAGGGAAAAGGGUCUUGGGGGUUCAGAAUUUAGUCUGGUGUAAGUUGGGAUACUUGGAUAAAAAAAAAAAAAAAAAAAAAAAAAACCACCUUCUGAAUUAUUUAAACUUUCACAUAAAUGUUAAAUGGGGAAAAUUAAUGUAAUUUGUACGAUAAUAUAGUAACUCCUGUACCUCAAAACUUCCCAUUGCAUAUGGAGAGGGAAAUCACGUGGCUGACUGACUCACCGAGCAAGGACUUUUCACCUUUCUCGGCUGUCGCCACUGAAGAGCUCGAUAUUUUGGAAGGAAGUGGACAUUAUAAUAGGUCAAAUCCACGUUCGUGGUGCUGCAAGAAGGCCUAGAAUUGACAAUAUGGAGAUUGUUGGAUUAGUUAUUACAAUUUUUUAUUUUUUAUUUUCGCUUUUCGAGAAGUUUUUUGUUCAAGCUACAAAAAUCUGUUCAUAUGAUAACCAUGUAAAAAGUGAAAACCGGUCCCAUAUUAUGCUGGACAGCUAACUCGGUUAAUCAAUGGACA
RNAcentral lists this long non-coding RNA (932 nucleotides) under Olea europaea subsp. europaea. The record is from RNAcentral. Lineage: Eukaryota; Viridiplantae; Streptophyta; Magnoliopsida; Lamiales; Oleaceae.